AUGGCCUGUUGCAGGAGCACCUCUGUGCACUCCUGGCACAGGCACAGGUGCCUGCAGGGCAGCAGCAGCACUGUCUUGGUUUGGUCUUGGCAGAUGACACACUUCUUACGCUCCUCUUGCUCUUUCAGCAGCGCCCAGGGGUCGUCGUCCGGCGCUCCCUCGGCGUUCCCGGCUGCCGCGUUCAGCUGCUGCUUCCUCGGAGCCUUCCCCCAGGACGUGCCCGGCUCCUGCCUGCCUGCCUGGGGACGCUGGGCUGCGGCAGCAACGGCUUCAGGGCAGGGCGUGGCAGCGGCAAAUGUGUCCUGCCUCAGCAGCUCCCUCUUCAUCCGCAGCCUGCCACGCACCCUGCCAUGGGCGCUCCGGCGCGUUACCCGGGGGCGCGGCUGUGCCACCUGCUCCUCAGCCAGCAGCCGGCCCAGCGCCCUGGGCACGGCCACAGCCCCUCGCUGGUCGCUGCCCCGGUUCGUCCCUCUGCCUCCUCGGCUCCAGUUGGUCACCUGCAGGCUCCAGUCCGUGACCUGCAGCGCCCAGUCCGCCAGCCUGCGCCAGGGCUGGGAGGUGAUGGCCAUGCCCACGCUCAGGAUGGCCACCUGGUAGAGCCGCCACGCGUCCCUCUUCAAGCGCUGGAAGGUGGGCAGAGCGAGGAAGUAUCCCUGGAAGUACCCCAGGAAGUGUCCCACCAGCGUCCACAGCAGCCCGGGGUUGAGGAGGAACUCGCUCCCAACCGCCACGAUGAGGUGCUAGCAGACCAACCCCAGCCCGUAGACGUUUGACGAAAGAAACGCUGACGAAGAUCUGGGCGGUGGUGUCAGAGCAGCUCGAGGGCCAGCUGGCAGGGCGACCACAGCAGGAUGGACACGGCGAUGGCCCCGCUGGACACGUGCGCCAGGAAGGCGGCGAGCAGCUCGGACAGCCGGAGCGCCGGCCCCGCCAGCGAGUCCCAGAGCGCGGCCAGCAGCGUGAGCAGGUUCUGCGCCGCCCAGCAGGCCCAACACGAUUGACCAGGCUGUUGGGCCAGGGGUACUAUCAG
RNAcentral lists this long non-coding RNA (1030 nucleotides) under Manacus vitellinus (golden-collared manakin). RNAcentral describes it as "lncRNA (ENSMVIG00005017004.1)". Lineage: Eukaryota; Metazoa; Chordata; Aves; Passeriformes; Pipridae. The record is from RNAcentral.